Molecule: ribosomal RNA, 2354 nt
Filed under: Escherichia coli
Lineage: Bacteria; Pseudomonadati; Pseudomonadota; Gammaproteobacteria; Enterobacterales; Enterobacteriaceae
Description: bacterial LSU rRNA
Rfam family: Bacterial large subunit ribosomal RNA
Source: RNAcentral
GUGUGACUGCGUACCUUUUGUAUAAUGGGUCAGCGACUUAUAUUCUGUAGCAAGGUUAACCGAAUAGGGGAGCCGAAGGGAAACCGAGUCUUAACUGGGCGUUAAGUUGCAGGGUAUAGACCCGAAACCCGGUGAUCUAGCCAUGGGCAGGUUGAAAGUUGGGUAACACUAACUGGAGGACCGAACCGACUAAUGUUGAAAAAUUAGCGGAUGACUUGUGGCUGGGGGUGAAAGGCCAAUCAAACCGGGAGAUAGCUGGUUCUCCCCGAAAGCUAUUUAGGUAGCGCCUCGUGAAUUCAUCUCCGGGGGUAGAGCACUGUUUCGGCAAGGGGGUCAUCCCGACUUACCAACCCGAUGCAAACUGCGAAUACCGGAGAAUGUUAUCACGGGAGACACACGGCGGGUGCUAACGUCCGUCGUGAAGAGGGAAACAACCCAGACCGCCAGCUAAGGUCCCAAAGUCAUGGUUAAGUGGGAAACGAUGUGGGAAGGCCCAGACAGCCAGGAUGUUGGCUUAGAAGCAGCCAUCAUUUAAAGAAAGCGUAAUAGCUCACUGGUCGAGUCGGCCUGCGCGGAAGAUGUAACGGGGCUAAACCAUGCACCGAAGCUGCGGCAGCGACGCUUAUGCGUUGUUGGGUAGGGGAGCGUUCUGUAAGCCUGCGAAGGUGUGCUGUGAGGCAUGCUGGAGGUAUCAGAAGUGCGAAUGCUGACAUAAGUAACGAUAAAGCGGGUGAAAAGCCCGCUCGCCGGAAGACCAAGGGUUCCUGUCCAACGUUAAUCGGGGCAGGGUGAGUCGACCCCUAAGGCGAGGCCGAAAGGCGUAGUCGAUGGGAAACAGGUUAAUAUUCCUGUACUUGGUGUUACUGCGAAGGGGGGACGGAGAAGGCUAUGUUGGCCGGGCGACGGUUGUCCCGGUUUAAGCGUGUAGGCUGGUUUUCCAGGCAAAUCCGGAAAAUCAAGGCUGAGGCGUGAUGACGAGGCACUACGGUGCUGAAGCAACAAAUGCCCUGCUUCCAGGAAAAGCCUCUAAGCAUCAGGUAACAUCAAAUCGUACCCCAAACCGACACAGGUGGUCAGGUAGAGAAUACCAAGGCGCUUGAGAGAACUCGGGUGAAGGAACUAGGCAAAAUGGUGCCGUAACUUCGGGAGAAGGCACGCUGAUAUGUAGGUGAAGUCCCUCGCGGAUGGAGCUGAAAUCAGUCGAAGAUACCAGCUGGCUGCAACUGUUUAUUAAAAACACAGCACUGUGCAAACACGAAAGUGGACGUAUACGGUGUGACGCCUGCCCGGUGCCGGAAGGUUAAUUGAUGGGGUCAGCGCAAGCGAAGCUCUUGAUCGAAGCCCCGGUAAACGGCGGCCGUAACUAUAACGGUCCUAAGGUAGCGAAAUUCCUUGUCGGGUAAGUUCCGACCUGCACGAAUGGCGUAAUGAUGGCCAGGCUGUCUCCACCCGAGACUCAGUGAAAUUGAACUCGCUGUGAAGAUGCAGUGUACCCGCGGCAAGACGGAAAGACCCCGUGAACCUUUACUAUAGCUUGACACUGAACAUUGAGCCUUGAUGUGUAGGAUAGGUGGGAGGCUUUGAAGUGUGGACGCCAGUCUGCAUGGAGCCGACCUUGAAAUACCACCCUUUAAUGUUUGAUGUUCUAACGUUGACCCGUGAUCCGGGUUGCGGACAGUGUCUGGUGGGUAGUUUGACUGGGGCGGUCUCCUCCUAAAGAGUAACGGAGGAGCACGAAGGUUGGCUAAUCCUGGUCGGACAUCAGGAGGUUAGUGCAAUGGCAUAAGCCAGCUUGACUGCGAGCGUGACGGCGCGAGCAGGUGCGAAAGCAGGUCAUAGUGAUCCGGUGGUUCUGAAUGGAAGGGCCAUCGCUCAACGGAUAAAAGGUACUCCGGGGAUAACAGGCUGAUACCGCCCAAGAGUUCAUAUCGACGGCGGUGUUUGGCACCUCGAUGUCGGCUCAUCACAUCCUGGGGCUGAAGUAGGUCCCAAGGGUAUGGCUGUUCGCCAUUUAAAGUGGUACGCGAGCUGGGUUUAGAACGUCGUGAGACAGUUCGGUCCCUAUCUGCCGUGGGCGCUGGAGAACUGAGGGGGGCUGCUCCUAGUACGAGAGGACCGGAGUGGACGCAUCACUGGUGUUCGGGUUGUCAUGCCAAUGGCACUGCCCGGUAGCUAAAUGCGGAAGAGAUAAGUGCUGAAAGCAUCUAAGCACGAAACUUGCCCCGAGAUGAGUUCUCCCUGACUCCUUGAGAGUCCUGAAGGAACGUUGAAGACGACGACGUUGAUAGGCCGGGUGUGUAAGCGCAGCGAUGCGUUGAGCUAACCGGUACUAAUGAACCGUGAGGCUUAACCUU